UACAGAGGGUGCGAGCGUUAUUCGGAAUUAUUGGGCGUAAAGGGCGCGUAGGCGGCUGAACAAGUCAAAGGUGAAAUCCCUCGGCUCAACUGAGGAACUGCCUUUGAAACUGUUCGGCUUGAGGCCGGGAGGGGGUAGCGGAAUUCCCAGUGUAGCGGUGAAAUGCGUAGAUAUUGGGAGGAACACCAGUGGCGAAGGCGGCUACCUGGACCGGUUCUGACGCUGAGGCGCGAAAGCGUGGGUAGCAAACAGG
This 253-nucleotide ribosomal RNA is filed under the name uncultured bacterium. RNAcentral's name for it is "partial 16S ribosomal RNA". It matches the Rfam family "Bacterial small subunit ribosomal RNA", at positions 524 to 776 of the family's 1533-position model. The record is from RNAcentral.